UAGUGUUGGGUGGUGGCAGUUUGAUGAUAGCGUUAUGCAGUAGGGAUGGUUGAGGGAGUAGUUUGAGAAGAUCGUGGUAUGUAGCAUAUGGAUGCUGUGAUAAUAUAGGAUUUGUGCAUGGGGGUGGAAGAGGAGAACAUGUAAUGCUGCGAGUGUCUCCCGAGCUACCCCGGCAUCCCCCUCCCAGAGGCUGGCGCAGAUCAGGCGACGAAAGAAAAGGACACAGGACGAGAUGUUCUCAGAACUUAUGGGCUGCUCCCGAGCCGAGGCGGCACAGCAGACCCAGUGGAGGGAGAACAUGUCGCAAUACCAGCGAUCACACAGCGAACGGGAGGACAGGUGGCGGCAGGAAGACCAGCAGGUGACUCAAACGCUGCUUGGACUAAUGAGGGAGCAAACGGACACGCUCCGGCGCCUUGUAGAUGUUCUGCAGGACCGGAGGCAGGAGGACAGAGCCCCGCUGCAUUCUAUCUCUAACCGCCCUCCCCCGCCACAAAGUCCCAUCCCCCCCUCACCCAAAGUCCCAAGAAGGAGGGGCGGCAGGGGCCGUGAAAAGAGUCACUCCACCCCUGCAGACUGCUCAAGUAGCAGAAGACUCUCAUUCCCAAAGAUUUGAUAAGUCCUUUCCUUCACUCCAAAAGCACCUCACCCAAGCCCCCGUCUCAGUUUCAUCCCCUGUGUAGUUGUUAAUAAAAAAUACGUUUCUGUUAA
Molecule: long non-coding RNA, 711 nt
Organism: Emys orbicularis (European pond turtle)
Lineage: Eukaryota; Metazoa; Chordata; Testudines; Emydidae
Exons: 2
Source: RefSeq, a predicted model, not a curated record